CCCAACACGUAAAUUAAAACCCCUAACUCUUUCUACUCUAAUCAAAACCUAACAGCCCUACCCAAAUCCCUACACUCCUCUUCAAACGAACAACCCUAACCAAACGACGCCAUCUCCCAUCACCGCCGGUUCCAUCGACGGACCAGCGUACAAAAGCCAUCCUUGACGCCACCACCAUCACGUCUCUUCAGUCCCCUCACCCUCUCUACGCGAUUAUAGAGCCAUUAAUACUCUGCAAACUAGCUUGUUCAACUUCCAAAAAGGGAAAAUGUGAGACUCUUGUGAAUACAAGGAUGAUUCGAUGGAUAACUGCCUCACCCCAUCUUCAGAGUUCGGUUUGCUGAGAAAACUUUCGGAUUUUUGGCCCCAACAGCUCUUUCCUUUCACUUCACCUCUAAAAAAGUUCUUGGCUGAGCAAACACCACUUCAAGCGGAUUCGGAGAUUCGACAACUACAAUAGCCUCAGUUCGCUGUCCCGGAGAAGGUCAGUAAUCCACCUAAAUUUCUUCUCAUUUCAGUUCUUAGAUAAAUAUCUAGUUGCUUGGAUGUUAUCGUCGUUCAUUUAUUUUAUGUUUUAAGUGUAUAAUUAGAACCUGUAAAUCUUGUUUCCUUCUUUAGUUUUCUGUUUAAAGGGUGUUAGAAUCUGCUUCUCGUUAUUUUGAUGAAAGAUCAGUAUGUAAAACUUAAAACAAAGGAAUUACGACGUUUCUGAAGGAAACUACUGAUUUGCACAAGUUUGAACUAAUCGAAACUCGCUGACGUUGGGGUAACGUUAUUGCUUGUAAAUCUUUUACUUCAUUGCUCAGAAGAGGUUAUUGUUUUCCCUGCCAGCUCUACUCUUCGAAAUUUGGAAUUUUGAGUGUGUUGAGAUGCAAGAAUAUGUCGCCAGUUAUAUUUUUUUUGACAUGUUGUAAAUAGCCUAGUCUUCAAGUUCUUUUAAAGAAAUAGAAUGCUCGAAUAAAUUAUCAAGAGACUCUGUCUUUCCUCUACCAUCAGACAUCGUGCUCGUUAGAUAUAAAAAUGUGAGUGUGUGUUUUGUUUCGUGACCAUGGAAAGCCAUGAUUUAGCAUAUUAUUUUACCAUGUUUGUAGUUGAGGUCAUAACUUAGUUAAUGAGAUAAUAGAUUAUUGCAGGUCCAUAACGAGAAGAAUAUUUUGUGUGUAUCUGUCAUCUCUUUUCUUUGCCAUGUCCAUGAGACCUUCUUAACUUAAGAUGACUCUUGUUUAUUGAUUUUCUGAAGUUUUUCAUAGUUAACUAAAUAUGCUUUAUACGUUAGAAAGCUACAUUUGUUCCGAAAAAGAAAGUUACUGUUUUCUGGUCAAAAAGUUACUGUUUUGAUAGGAGAAAAAGGUUACUAUUUUGAUUAGAGAAAAGGAUACUAUUUUGAUUAAAAAAAAAAAAACUUGCUGUUUUGAAUAGGGAAAAGUUACUUGUCUUGAAAGGAAAAUUUACCGAUUCGUGAAAAUUAAAUUCGUCAAAUCUGUGUCUGACUUCGUCGUUUGGCUAAUUUCUCUGUUUUGCGAGUUGCUCUUGUUAUAUGGAUAACUAAGUUAGUAAUCAUCUUCAUCCUCGUCUUACAUUUCAUUUUUGGGUUAUCAAACUAAAAAGAAAACGUAGUGAUGUUUCUUAUUAUUUAUUCAGUUAUGUUCGUUUGAACCUGCUUGUCUUCUGUUUGUUAUUAGAAUGGUUGAGAUGAGCUAACAACACUUUGGCAAAAAAUGGCAGUCUAACUUCUCAAACAUACCAGCAUCCUGUUGUCUUUUUUUUUUUUUAUUUUUUUUUUUAAAACUCCAUCCAUUAAUCUGGAGGGACUAUUUUUAUCAUAAUUCUAGGAGAAAACAGUACAUAAAGAUUUUGGCGCAAGUUGUGAGUUUCAAAAGCCAAAUUGCUAACCCUUUAGGAUGUAAACCUGCAUCUAAACAAGUGUUUGUAUGGAUUCUGAAAUGUUGCAAUAUUGAAAUAUAAAUGAGGUCACAAAGUAGUAAGAAUGUCAAGAUUGGUUUUAAAAUCUUCCUUGUGCUAGGUAUGUGUUAAUUGGUUCAUGUUGAAAUUUCGAGUAGAUUUGUUGUGAGUUUUGUCUUCUCGUUACUGCUUGUUUGAAAAUCACUACUAUAAGAUUUUGGAAAGGUUUUUAACUUAGUAGCAUAUCUUUUUAGCUAAAUCCUCACAAAUAGUGAAGGCGCGUUCUAGAUUUACAUUCUAUGAUUGCUUGUGCAGUACGUUUGGGCUUUAUGUCUAAAAGCUUUGCUUCGUAUAAUGUUCAAAUGAUCCAGUUUGAGAUUUUGUAAUAUGGAAAACAGAAAUGCAUUAUAGGGCAGUAGGUUGUCUGCUAUUUAAGUGUAUAAGAACAGAUCAUGGAAAAUUUGUUUGAAGCUUGGUCAUUGUUUUGUUUUCUCAUGUAUCCUUUUUUGACAAAGAAUAUCAAAGCAUAUAAAUUGUUAUGUAUUACCUGAGUCUGAAAAGACUUAUCCUGAAUUAGUGUUACGCUGUGUCGUAAGAUAAAAUGUGAGAUUUUGUUAUGAAACAAUAAAUAGUUCCUGUCAAACACCAUGUCUGUGAUCUGAACCAUCCUCUUUGGCUUUGUUCUAUUCAAGUCGCUAGGAUUGUUAUUGUCGGUUUUAUGGGAGGAACAACGUGUUGGUAAAUCUGGUUUGUCUAUUUUUAAAACAAACUGUAUGCUUAGUUUUUUUUUGUUUUUAUUGUUAGCAAGCCCUUUUCGAGAUAACAAAUUACAAGGAUUCAAAAUUUGUCGAGUUUGUUGAAGACUGUUUAUUUUUCUAAAUGUUUUUUUUGGAAGUUGGCUAAUAACAUGGGGCUUGUAAAGUAUGUUAAAAAUUACCAUUGAGAGUUGUUAAGGCUACAAAGGCUGUUAAGAGUUUUGUUUGGUUAAGAAUUUUUUCCAGAAUAUGAUUAACUCUUUAACAACUUCCUUGAAGUUCAGACUUUAAAUUCCUUGUUGGCAUUCUGGUUGUAUUUUUUCCUCUUGAACUACUAUAACUAGAUAAUUUUUGGUGUACCUUACCAAACCAUACGAAGAUUUAUGAGUUGUUCUUACUUGAGCAUUUAAGUUUGUUUGCUGCAUAACAUUAGUGACUGGUAUAAUAUCGUAGCUCCAUGCUUCAAAAGUUAAAGGAAGCGCACCAGAUUUGUUUAAUUUAUUUGAGGUUACUAAUUGAAUUCAUCUCUUAUUUAGAAGUAUUUGUUUCCAAGUUCUUAUGAUUGUACGCUUCCUUCUAGAUUAUAUGACGUUCAGUUAACUUUUUUUGUUUUUUUUUUGUUACUGAUAUCAUCGAGAUUUGCACCUAAUCCUUUUCUUUUCUUUCCUUUUACAUGAACACCAUGGGAGUUUGUUGGAGUUGUGGCUCAACCCUAAUUCUGCCCAGGUCAUAGGAGCAGUCAGCAGCAGAUUUAUUUGCUCGUGUCUAGCCGUCCCCUACUUCCGCGUCAAAAGAAUCCACGUCCCUCUUCCUCUCUUAAAAUUUUAUAUCUUUUGUAUUACUAUAUGUUUUUCGCACCCUUUGACUAACAUCUUUUAUGGGUUUGUAUUUGUAGUAUUUUGUUUCUUGCUUGUUUGUGAACUCGUGAAUGGCCGAGCCUUGUCAUUGGCCACUUCUCCUUAGAUAUAAAUCUUGGUUUUAGGAUA
Molecule: long non-coding RNA, 3643 nt
Organism: Lycium barbarum (goji berry)
Lineage: Eukaryota; Viridiplantae; Streptophyta; Magnoliopsida; Solanales; Solanaceae
Exons: 2
Source: RefSeq, a predicted model, not a curated record